Taeniopygia guttata (zebra finch) is the source of this 1852-nucleotide long non-coding RNA. The record is from Ensembl. Lineage: Eukaryota; Metazoa; Chordata; Aves; Passeriformes; Estrildidae.
UUUUUUUUUUUUUUUUUUUUUUUUUUUUUUUUUUUGAGAAGAGAUACAAAAGGAAACAAGGAAAAAAUUACUUUCAUGAUAUUAACCACAAGGUCUAUAUUACAGGUCUCUGCAUUCUAAAAUGGAGUAGACCUGGUGUUUGGGGGAUUUUUUUUUUUUUUGUAGAAAACAAACAAAAAAUCAAAAAAGUAAAUAAUUUUGUAUAUAUAACCAUUUUUUAAUCUUUUUAUAAAGUAAUGAAUGUUUGUGUAUGAAUGCUGCAGCUGUGAAGCGUACAUAAAUAAAUGAAGUAAGCCAUACUGAUUUAAUUUAUUGGAUGUUAUUUUACCCAUACAAAGAAGAUUCAAAGAGCUCACCAGUGCAGUAUUAGCCCCUGAGCUCCACUUUUGGAAUCAUCUUUCACUUCAGCUUGCUCUUUUUCCCCGGAGAACAAAAAUUCCUGCUAAACAGGAUAAUUUGUUGGCGGCUAGAUGGGUGAGAGCUGUGCGUGACCCACAGAAGAAUCAGGAUCUUGGCUUUCUCUAAAGUGUGUGCACAGAUUGGUUCUAGGUUGUAGUUUGGUGCAGUGUGUACGUAGGAGUUUUCUGUCAUGAUUUCUUGCCCUGGUCAGUGCCACCACUGGCCUGGAUGUGUACAGUGAGUGUUGGAGGUGACGUUUGAAACGGCCUCUCCAUGGAAAGGACUGUUGUUCCUGCAAAGUGCCUUGCACACCUUUGGGCACAGGACAAAAAAGAAAAAAAAGUGAAAAAAGAUUAAAAAAAAAAAAUUUUUUAAAAAGGAAAAAAUAACAACAAUAGGUAAAAAAAAAAACCUUGAAAAUAAAAUGAGUUCCUUAGGAUGUACCUUUUAAAGUAACAUGAAAAAACACACACAGGCGCGAGGUUUACGCCUCUGUGUUCGUGGGGUUGUGAUGGGGACAAAAAAACUGAGAGGGAAAGGAGAAGAAUUGAAACCCAGCCAACAGGGCAGAGCUGCCCAUGGGGUGACCUUGCCACAGAGUUCAGACAACACCCCCUGACCCCGAGGAAUGGCAGAGGCUGCUCCCCACCCUUGUGGCAGGACCUCCCUGCGUUGGCCACUCUGUUCCCCACCCUUCACCCCCAAACAAUGCACAUAAUACUUUUCUCUAUUUAUAUUAUUAUCUUGUAUAGUGUAUAAUGUGAAUGUCUGGGUUUUUUUUUUUUUUUAUUAUUUUUUGUGAAUGGAAGUCUAAAAUCUUUGUAACUUUUAUAUCUGCUUCUGUUUCACCAAAGAAACAAGGUUUUGCUAUACUGUGACUUGUCUUGUUAUUGCAUGUCUUCCUGUUUAAAUCUAUGCAAUGUGAUUUUUUUCAUAUGAAUACAACUAGACUGUCAGGUACUUCACAAUUACCAUGGGCUUGGUCAAGUGCCCUCUGGAGUCAAAGAGUCAGCUGGCUGAACUUUAGUAGGUGCUGGAUUUGACUUUAUAUGAGCAGCUUUAGGGGAUAUUUUAAGAUAUACAUUGUAUGUUUUGAAGUCGAUUAUUGCUUGUAAAAGUCAAGGCUCUGUUCAUAAAUAUACACUAAUCUACACAUCACUUCCUUGUACCAGAAACACACAGAACAGAAAAUAUAUUUUAACACUUUGCAAACUUUCUCACCAUAUGUAUAAAAAAACCCUGCAUAGAUUUGUUGUUUUCUUGUCUACUUGUUGGAUUUAACAAUGUUGUAAGACAUUCAGAUAACAUUGUGAUUGUAGUUUUAAUUAGGUUAGAUGCAGUGCUUAUAUUGAUUUUUUUUCACCUCCUUCUAUUACGCAUAAUAAAAUAGGACUGACAACAUUCCUUAUUAAAAAAAAAAAAAAACAACAAAAAAAAAACCACUUAAAAAACC